Molecule: ribosomal RNA, 253 nt
Filed under: uncultured bacterium
Lineage: Bacteria
Description: partial 16S ribosomal RNA
Rfam family: Bacterial small subunit ribosomal RNA
Source: RNAcentral
UACAUGGGGUGCAAACGUUGCUCGGAAUUAUUGGGCGUAAAGCGCACGUAGGCGGUUUGUUAAGUCGGAUGUGAAAUCCCUCGGCUCAACCUCGGGUCUGCAGUCGAUACGGGCAAACUAGAGUAUUGCAGGGGAGACUGGAAUUCCUGGUGUAGCGGUGAAAUGCGCAGAUAUCAGGAGGAACACCGGUGGCGAAGGCGGGUCUCUGGGCAAUAACUGACGCUGAGGAGCGAAAGCGUGGGGAGCGAACAGG